This 554-nucleotide long non-coding RNA is filed under the name Sorghum bicolor (sorghum). RNAcentral's name for it is "long non-coding RNA (SBIC_LNC004136)". Lineage: Eukaryota; Viridiplantae; Streptophyta; Magnoliopsida; Poales; Poaceae. The record is from RNAcentral.
UAUGCAUUCAAAGAUAUGGUGUGAUGGAAUGAAAAUGAAAUUUUUGAAACUAAACUGGACCUAAUUGGGACGAGUCGUCACGUCCAACCUAGAGACCGACCAUUAGUACGUACAGUACAGUAGUACGUGUACUAGUCUACUAGUCUGAAACCCUAACAGAAAAAAAAGAAAAUGCAUAUACUAGGUCUUGUUUUGUUCACCUCGAAAUCCAAAAAGUUUUCAAGAUUCUCCGUCACAUCGAAUCUUGCGGCACAUGCAUAAAGCAUUAAAUAUAAACAAAAACAAAAACAAAAACUAAUUAUACAGUUUGUUUGUAAAUCGCGAGGCGAAUUUUUUGAUCCUAGUUAGUUCAUGAUUGAACAAUAUUUGUCAAAUAAAAACGAAAGUGCUACAGUAGCGAAAUCAAAAAAAUUUCGAAACUAAACAAGCCUAGUCUGAAACGUACGUUAAAGGAUUUCAGUGUCCUAACCCUUUUUCGCUAUUGCUUCGUCAAAAAGGAUUAAAGAUUAGUCAAACAACGAAGGAAAAUGCCGUACAGGGCGCAGGUGUCCGGC